UAUUGGAUCCGCCAUUUUGAAUUUUGAAAAACUAACGUCGGAUUUGUAAUCAGCGACCAAAAAAAUCCGCGAGUAACAAAUUUCAGUCAGUUUUAAACACAUCUAGAGAUUUUGGGCAGGUUUUUUGCAAUAAGGCCCACUGUGCUGCGUAACAAUGUGUCAAAAUGAGUUACGCAAAUUUUUUAUAGUAUUUGAUCAAUACUGAAGACAAUAAAAUUUGUUUCACGAAUGUGCCCUGAAAAAAUAAUUAAUUUUUCUAAUAUCUCAAAGUUUAAAAGUUCUAGAGAUAUGCCCAUAUCUAACGGGUUGAAAUAAAUGGUUCUUGUGGAAGCUGUCGUUGGUGAAAUCUCUCUGGGGACAGUUGUAUGUGCUAUCAUCGCCUUGACGACGAGAAUGUCGCACUGGAGAAGGAAAUUUGUAGUAGUCCCUUCAAGUAAAACCACAGAACAAAUCACACACAAUGUACAAAAUCUUGACUGUUGAAAAUGAAAAAGAUUUCUUCAUGUACAUAUCAAAUAUUCAACCAGGAGACAUUUGAAGAAUAUUUCCAAUUUAUUUUAAAUUUUACAAUUUCGUGAAGGAUUCAAAAAUAUUUUCAGAUUGGAUAAACAGAAAGUUCUCAAAAGAAGAAGAAGAAGAAGUCCUCUGAACUCAACUGGCGCUUUUGAAACUUUAUAUAACAUCAUUCAAAAUGAAAUGGAAUCUUCAAGUAUUAAAUUCAAUCCUCGAUGGCUUGUGGUGUCACUUGAAAG
Long non-coding RNA from Leptopilina boulardi, 752 nucleotides. RefSeq lists it as uncharacterized. Lineage: Eukaryota; Metazoa; Arthropoda; Insecta; Hymenoptera; Figitidae. The record is from RefSeq and is a predicted model, not a curated record. The transcript is spliced from 3 exons.